Taeniopygia guttata (zebra finch) is the source of this 5317-nucleotide long non-coding RNA. NCBI's taxonomy places the organism in Eukaryota, Metazoa, Chordata, Aves, Passeriformes, Estrildidae. The record is from Ensembl.
UUUUUUUUUUUUUUUGUGAGCAUUUCAACUUCCUAUGGGUUCAGUAAAGGACUGUUAACUUGCAAUAAACAUGCGCCAUUUUUUAGGUUAAUGUAACUUCAUUUUAUGCUAUUGUUUCUCCUCUGUUACAUUCAUAUGGUACAGCUGACAUCUGAUAGGAAAAAGAGACUUAGACACUCUACUACAGUUAGAAGCGAUAUGGUUAAUAGCUGCAGCUGAAGCCUUUCCCAUGGUAUUCUAGAUUAUCCAGCAAGGUUAGCCAGUGCAGAUUUCACCAGGCACCAUCACAUCCCAAGAGUGAAUCUGCCCUCCACCCUGCUGAGGGCCUCUGUGGGAAGCCAUUAUCCAUCCAAUGACAUUGGUGCACACAGCAUGGAGAAGAGAGGCAGAUGGAAAGAACUACAGCUUCUGUUAAAAACUGAGCCAGUUUUUAACAGAAGCUCUUUACCAUUUUAAAUCACAAUACAAAUGGUGAUCAAAAUUUUAGUCUGCUGGCUUGGUGACCUCCACUGGACAAUUUUGAAUAAAGAAGUGCACUAAAAGCCAAUCCAACAAUUGUAAAUCAACCCAAAGCCAGCCCUCCUGAUUGCAAGGUAGUAUGUGAAAAAGAACCCCUUAUAGUCAUGUGCCACUUUAGCUGCCUGGGGAAAAAAAUCCUUCCACAUAUGAAAAUGGCAAUCAACCUCCUGCAUGGUGCUUAAUGGGAGGUAAAACACAAGACAACUCCCUGGCUGGGAGUUAUGAGGCCACAUGCAGAUGUCUCCAUCUGAGCUAAUCACUGAAACUCCUGUCUUGGAAAUGGAGAGAAACAAGUACCACUAGGGCACAAGUCAUGUCAUUCUAAAGCAGGUCUCUCAAAUAAGUGAGAAGAAUCAUAUAUUCUUUCCACUGUCUGUAAAGGGAGUUUUGUAUAAACUGCUUGGAUGGGAGACAUCGCAUUGGCUGGUGUUUGAAGUCAGGUGGGAUAAAUUCUGCACCAUCUUUCUCUAAUUUAUGUCUUUAGUUGAAGAAUCUAUUCAGAGAAUUCUUUCUUAAUGCCAGAUAUUUUUUCUGUGUUUUUACAGGCUGUCUUCCUCUACUAAACUCUUGUAAUUUGUGAUAUCCAUCUAGUUUCAAAGUCUCUGUUGUUUUCUAUCAGUCACUUGGUCCCAACUCAGCUGAUUCUCAUCACUUGGCCUUUAUGAAGACAUUGCAUUAUGUCUUCAAGUCUUUUAAAUAUAUAAGUCUUCAUCCCACUUUUUGAUUGUCUGUGAUGCUGCUGUUAGUGUAGGAAUUGUUUCUGUCUUUGCUCCUCUCAGUGCCAUCUAUCUGUGGCAACUUCUCUACCAAUGGAUGCCAUAAGCCUUUCAUGGUCUGUUUGUGUCCAUUAGCUAAGCCCAUAAGAUGUGCCUUGUGCAGUUUCUCUGUUGUGCUGGCAAAGCACACCCUCUGGCUGGAGAAGCACCAUUCUGUGGUUCUGAUAAGUCCAAGAUCUUCUGCCCAAGGCAGCUCAGUAACUGGCAAAAGCUCUGAAUACUCCUGCUUCUGGGCUAGAAUCUGUCUGCUUUAGCCUUCUGUUUGCUGAGUUCCGGUUGUCUUUCUGUUCAGCUCUGUUACUCUCUAGGUUUUGUAAUUUAUUGGUAUGAUUUGUUGUCCUCUGUCAUUUGAUCCUGCUUUAAUGGCAGAAUAUGUCCCAAGAAAUAAAAGAGCACAAGGCUUACUUUUCUAUUCCCUACACCAACACCCUGUACAUACCACAUUUACCUCUUCUAGUGCCCACCACAAACUUCAAUGUCAUCUGGAGACAGUGCUUACCCACCCUAACUUCAGAUCAAGAGCUGUUUAGGAGUGUGGGAGCUGACCUGCACCAAAACUUUGCUAAGGUCAGUCCAAACAAAUAAAAGUGCUAGCUAAUUAAGUUCAGUGCUGAUGCCUUAGCACUGGUUAAUUUUCUCAGAAGUUGUUGCUGAGGUGUCCAAGCACCAGUAGCCACAUGAAAUGUGUAUGUGAUAGCAUCAAGACUUAGUGACUUAUUAGUAAGUAAAUAACUGGGGCUACAUGGCCUACUGCUCUAAUAACCACUUUUCAGUGAGCAAGCCUGUCCUAAUGAAAGUGGAAUGUUUGAUUCAGCAGCUCGUGAAUCUUGUACUGUUGGUAGGUGAACCCAGCAUUUCUAGAUGUUGACCCUUUCCUGUCGGUGAUACCUUAUUAUCAUUCACCUAAUGACAAUCAUUCACCUUUCAACUAAUUUUUGGGUAGUUUAAGGGAUAAUGUGUUAUGAUUAAUUGGCACAUUUAUACUUGAACUCAUCUGUAAGAUAACAGAACUUAGCAGGCUUAAACCUUAAACUUCCUAAUUUUCUUGGCUUUUGGAUAGACCUCCAGGUCACGUACAGUAAAUACCUGUGGCAGCUUUGGCUGUUAAAGGUUAUGUUCUGACCUUUCAGGAACAGGUUGGGCUCUUGUAUGAUCUUUUUGCUUAUCUUGGUGCAUAUCCCCUGCUGCUGCAGCCUGGCAUUUAUGACUCGUCAAUGGGAUUCCAAUUUUUCUCUUUUCCUCUAAGCAUGACAUGCAAACCUGUUUCACUUUGUCAUGAGGUUUUAAAUCUACUUUUGUGUUCUCUUUAAACACAAUAAUGUUUUACAUGCAUAGCUCUCCUAUUAGAAAGGCAGUUAAAUUCCUAUGAAUAUUAUUUUUUCAGGCUUACUCUUAUGAAGUAAGUCUGCGUCCCGUCCUUUUGUGACUGCCUGAAGUGUCCUGCCACAAAUCAGAGAAUAUCUCUUGCAGACCUCUCCGUCUUCUACAUCAUUACGUGUCAUGGUUUAGCACCAACAGGCAGCUGAGCACCAUGGAGCUGUUUGCUCACUUCCCCCAGCUCUUCACCCUGGUGGGGAGAAUGGGAAAGAAAAUGCAAACUUUGGGGGUUGAGAGCAUUACAAUUUAAUAAUUAAAAAUAACAAAUACCACUACUACUAAUAAUAAUUGUAGUGGAAAAGGGUGAGAGAGAGGGGAAUAAAAUCCAAGAGACACAAGUGGUGCCCAGUACAAUUACUCACCACAUGCUGACCAAUGUCCAGACUAUUACUGGGCAACAAUCAGCAACCCCCAACCAACUGCCUCCAGUUUAUUGCCUGAGCAUGACAUUCUCUGGUGUGGAAUAUCCCUUUGUCCAGUUCAGGUUAGCUUUCCUAGCUACACUCCCUCCCAGCUUCUUGCACACCUGCUUGCUGGCAGAGCAUGAGACACUGAAAAGUCCUUUAUUUAGAGUAAGUACUAUGAACAACUAAAACAUCAGUGGGUUACCAAGAUCAUUCUCACACUAAACCCAAAACACAGAACUUUACAAGCUAUUAAGAAGAAAAUUAACUUUAUCCCAGCUGUAAUCAGGACAUCAAAUCACCUGUAUUGUAACCCAUUUAAUUAGCUAUGAUUUCCCUUUUCAGAAACUUAUCCUUACCUCAGAGUAAUGAAGAUUCAGGAACAUCACUUUCCAAGCUCUGCACAAUACAUUCUGAUGGGGUCUGAACAGGCCUCAUGUCCAUUUGAUAACAAAAUGUAUGACUAUUUAAUUCCAAAGAACAUAGCUAGUAAUUCCCCUUCCAUCAAGAACACAUCUCAUUGGGCCUGACAGGCUUUAAUUGAAAAUGCCAUGGGCUAAUGACUUUAUAGUAGCUGUGCUCCCAAGUCUCCUCCUGAGGCCUCAGACUGUAAUUAAAGAUGCUCCACAGGCAUUUCAGGAUUGGCAGCUUGCUUAUAUCUGUCUUUAUUCUUUCAGAUAUCUUGUAUUUUGGAUGAUAAAGAGACAAGGAUAUUCUGAGUGGCCAAAGGGACCUUUGUCUUUAGUCUGAACAGUUAAACAAGUUGAGCCUCUAAUGGGCAACCCAUCCAGAAAAAUGCAGCCAAGACUCGUAGUGCUUUUCCCUUUCAGGAAUGAAACUGGGAAUAAUACCAGCAUGCAUUGCCCAGAGAUUGGGCCUACCUUUGGAGGAUUGCUUAUCCUUCUUACAGGAGCCAUCAUUUGCAGCAUAAGCUGAAUCUGGUUCAUAUGGUGACAAGCUUGACCCACAGUGUGGAGACAUGGACAUAAUAUUGACAGCCUAAAUGAGCCUUCUUUGAGCUCUCCCUUUUUAGCAGCAUGGCUACAUGAUGGUGAUCUCGCCUGGAGUUGGGAAACCUCUCAAGGUUGUGACAGAGAGAGCUUUUACCAGUGACUGAUCUUUAGUAGCAACCAAUAUUGUGCAUAAACUUGCAAUAUAGUAACUUUGAUUUGAGUUGCUAACUUAGAUUUUUGUCAUGUGAACUCUGGUAAAUUUUGAAUCAGAGUUCAAAUGAUUGUACUCUACAGUGAAAAAGUGAACUUUGUCAUGGAACUUUGUUACACUACAGCUUUACAGCAUCAUAUUAAAACUGCUUUUCCUAAUACCUGUGACAGCAGUUCUUUUAAGUGAUCUAAAUUCAUGACAGAUUGAAUGGAGGAGGAGCAGGAUCUGAGGAAGAAAGUUGUCUCUUUCUGUCAUCUUCAAAACUUGUAUAACUGUGGCCAAGUUGGUAAAUUUUAGUUUGCACAUAAGUAAAGAUUUCCUAGCGGUAAAAGUGUCUGAUGGUUCUGUCACACAGAUCAAGCUCUAGCCAGCCCUAGCUGUCCCCUUCUCAGUAUCUCUGAGCAGUACUGGACCUGCAAAACUUAAUAUGUAGGGUGAUCUGAACCUGGUAUUCAUGGUGAAAAUUGGGACACUCUUUUCUAUCUGAGGAGGUGCUAGCUGGAAAUUCUUCAGUUUGAAAUUUCUUCUCCAUACCAGCUGUUCAGAUACCAGUAACAGAGCUGCCACAAAAUAAAGAUUGUGUUUGGGCUACAUAAUCUGAUUAAAUGUUCAUCUGGUUGACUGGCAGUUGGAUGGAUAUAAUAUAAGGCAGAGCAGGAGCUGCACAGCUAUCAGUAUUCUCUCUGCAGUGAUUUCAUCUGUCAAGCUGCAUACAACUUUUUGCUUUGGUUUUAUAGAGCCAAAAUCUUUAAUAGAAAAAAAAAAACAAACCCAAACAAUAAGAGAUUCUGUGACCUGCCAGUUCCACUGAUAUGUCCCUGAUUCUUUGUACUCAUAUUCAGUGACUCAUUGUGGCCAUAACCUCACUGUUUAUGUCUCUCUUGCUCUUCUGGCAUGGUACAAAACAAGCCUCAAGAAUCUGACAUAUGUUUUUCUCACCUCUAGAAGUACUUUGCUUUCAAAGUUCUCUUUUGUUUUCAGUACCUUGCCACUGGGGCAAUAAGUUAUUUUGUGAAGAGUUGCAGCUCCACCUUUGAAACAAAAUAAAAAAAAAAAAAAAAAAAAAAAAAAAAAAAA